This is a small nuclear RNA of Planococcus citri (citrus mealybug), 99 nucleotides long. NCBI's taxonomy places the organism in Eukaryota, Metazoa, Arthropoda, Insecta, Hemiptera, Pseudococcidae. The record is from RefSeq and is a predicted model, not a curated record.
GUACAUACUUAUACAUAAUAAGAUUGGAACGAUACAGAGAAAAUUAGCAUGGCCCCUGCGCAAGGAUGAAACAUAUUUCAAGCCUGAUACCAAUCGAUU